This 916-nucleotide ribosomal RNA is filed under the name uncultured Candidatus Poseidoniales archaeon. RNAcentral describes it as "SSU rRNA". It matches the Rfam family "Archaeal small subunit ribosomal RNA", at positions 1 to 923 of the family's 1478-position model. Lineage: Archaea; Methanobacteriati; Thermoplasmatota; Candidatus Poseidoniia; Candidatus Poseidoniales. The record is from RNAcentral.
UUCUGGUUGAUCCUGCCAGAGGCGACCGCUAUUGGAGUUCGAUUAAGCCAUGCGAGUAGAAAGAAAUUAGAUUCUUUGCAUACUGCUCAGUAACACGUGGAUAACCUGCCCUACACUGGGGGAUAAUCUCGGGAAACUGAGGAUAAUACCCCAUAGACCACUACGCCUGGAACGGUGAGUGGUUGAAAGCUCAGGCGGUGUAGGAUGGGUCUGCGGCGUAUCAGGUCGUAGGGGGUGUAAUGGACCUCCUAGCCAUCGACGCGUACGGGUUGUGGGAGCAAUAGCCCGGAGACGGAUUCUGAGACACGAAUCCGGACCCUACGGGGUGCAGCAGGCGCGAAAACUUCACACUGCAGGAAACUGUGAUGAGGGAACUCCAAGUGACUGCACAUUGUGUAGCCUUUUCUUGAAUCUUAAUAGUUCUUGGAAUAAGGGCUGGGAAAGACCGGUGCCAGCCGCCGCGGUAAUACCGGCAGCUCGAGUGGUCGUCGCUUUUAUUGGGCCUAAAACGUCCGUAGCCUGUUUGGUAAAUCUGUGGGUAAAUCAACGAGCUCAACUCGUUGAAUUCUGCAGAGACUGCCAGACUAGGGACCGGGAGAGGUAUGAGGUACUCUGGGGGUAGGGGUAAAAUCCUGUCAUCCUCAGAGGACCACCUGUUGCGAAGGCGUCAUACUGGAACGGAUCCGACGGUCAGGGACGAAGCCUAGGGGCACGAACCGGAUUAGAUACCCGGGUAGUCCUAGGUGUAAACGCUGUGGAUUUGGUGUGUGGGGUCCGCAAUGGGCCCCAUGUGCCGGAGUGAAGAUGUUAAAUCCACUGCCUGGGGAGUACGGUCGCAAGGCUGAAACUUAAAGGAAUUGGCGGGGGAGCACUGCAACGGGAGGAGCGUGCGGUUUAAUUGGAUUCAACGCCGGGA